CCGACCUUAGCUCAGUUGGAAGAGCACAAGACUGUAAUGGGUGCAUGAUCUGGAGUUUCCAAUCUUGGGGUCGCCUGUUCGAACCAGGCAGGUCGGA
Non-coding RNA from Paramarasmius palmivorus, 97 nucleotides. The record is from the annotation of a GenBank genome assembly. Lineage: Eukaryota; Fungi; Basidiomycota; Agaricomycetes; Agaricales; Marasmiaceae.